This 393-nucleotide long non-coding RNA is filed under the name Homo sapiens (human). RNAcentral's name for it is "long intergenic non-protein coding RNA 1896 (ENSG00000282765.1)". Lineage: Eukaryota; Metazoa; Chordata; Mammalia; Primates; Hominidae. The record is from RNAcentral.
GCGGCCGCCAGGAUGUGCCCCCGGCCCCGUCGUCGCCGCGCCCGCGCCCCUCGCCCCAGUGUGGACGUGGGGAGGAUCUUCUAAGUCCCUCCAACGAAGGCAAGUGUGAGACUCUGGCCCUUUAUUUGUAAGAAGCAAGCCUUCAGAUUGCAGAAGUGUCGCGCGGGUCGCCGUGCGUUGCGCGAGUGGGAAGAUGGAGGAGGCCGGCACGCUGCUUUCGUGGACGCAAGUGAACCGGGCGUGAAGGCAGGGUGCGAGCUCUGCCCUUGGCCCAGCCCUGCGUGGGCGCCGUCCCAGAUUCCGGGCGGUGCGGGGUGCAGAGAUCUGGAGAGACUUGCGGGCUCCCCAGCGCAGGCUGCUCUGGGAUUUCGUUGGAAGAUCCGGCAGAGCCUU